CGCCUUGCCAGCCCGCUCAGAAACUUAAAGGAAUUCGAGGGGGCCCGCACAAGCGGUGGAGCAUGUGGUUUAAUUCGAUGAUACGCGAGGAACCUUACCUGGGCUCAAAUGUAUGUUGACGUAUUUCUGAAAGGGAUACUUCUUCGGACAAUAUACAAGGUGCUGCAUGGUUGUCGUCAGCUCGUGCCGUGAGGUGUCGGGUUAAGUCCCAUAACGAGCGCAACCCCUAUCAUUAGUUGCCAUCAGGUCAAGCUGGGGACUCUAAUGAAACUGCCUACGCAAGUAGUGAGGAAGGUGGGGAUGACGUCAAAUCAGCACGGCCCUUACGGCCUGGGCUACACACGUGCUACAAUGGUCGGUACAAAGGGUUGCCAAGCCGCGAGGUGGAGCUAAUCCCAUAAAACCGAUCGUAGUCCGGAUCGCAGUCUGCAACUCGACUGCGUGAAGUCGGAAUCGCUAGUAAUCGUGAAUCAGAAUGUCACGGUGAAUACGUUCCCGGGCCUU
This 504-nucleotide ribosomal RNA is filed under the name uncultured Sphingobacteriales bacterium. RNAcentral's name for it is "bacterial SSU rRNA". It matches the Rfam family "Bacterial small subunit ribosomal RNA", at positions 903 to 1382 of the family's 1533-position model. The record is from RNAcentral. Lineage: Bacteria; Pseudomonadati; Bacteroidota; Sphingobacteriia; Sphingobacteriales.